UUAUAAUGCCAUCAAUUUCCUUUGUAUUUUUUCUAGGGAAAUUUGAGCUACACUUGUAGGAAAGUGUGAUAUUCAAAUAUUGUUUCUGAACAAAUUUUAAGGGACUGUUUAGGAAAAAUGUCCAAAAUUGCAACCAUAUAUUACUGGUGGCAUCCUAAAACAAAACAACAGAUGCACAGUAAAGAGGGUGCCUAAAAAUGUCUUAUGGACAUUGCACACCAAAACACCCUGAUUAUUGCACCUAUCCUCAUCUCUUAACUUCUCUUUACCUUUUCUCUCUGCACUAUCUCUCAGGCAGAAAUAGUUGAAUCAGGAAAGGAGGUACACCACAGCAGACAGUGAGACACCUUGACCAUUGAAGAUGCAACAUCUCAACUCAGAUAUUAUCUGCUUGGAUGGGAGUUCAGCACUGUCACAAAUAAUGUGCACCUACACUGGAUGGCCGCGCAAAAAGAUUCCCUAUUCCCGUGUGAUGGGAUGGUUUACAGAACUCCAGCAAUGCAAAUUUAAGGAACCUGACUCCAAUUUGUCAUUACAGAGUCCACCACAUUGUACUAGAUGUGCGGACAAUGUGACACCAUCUUUCAAACAGCUAAAGUAGACCUUGCAGCAUGACAACCAACCAAAUCAGUCAAUAAAAUACACAAGAGAAUGGCUGGAAAAGAAGAAAUUAGGAAUUCCGGAACAGCCAAGUCAAACCCCAGAUCUUAGGCUAUUCAUAGACAAUUACAAAAAAGGCCUACAAGAUGUUAUUUCUGCCAAAGGGGACAAUACCAGCUAUUGAAGCCAUGGAUGUAGUUUUGUUUCCAGAGCAUUUCCAAUAGCAUUUCUGAUAUUUUAAUGUUUAUUGAAUAAACAACUGCAAAGAAUA
This is a long non-coding RNA of Polypterus senegalus (gray bichir), 871 nucleotides long. RefSeq lists it as uncharacterized. The transcript is spliced from 2 exons. NCBI's taxonomy places the organism in Eukaryota, Metazoa, Chordata, Cladistia, Polypteriformes, Polypteridae. The record is from RefSeq and is a predicted model, not a curated record.